CGCAACGGGCGGGUGGUGGCGAGGGGGCCACAAGGCUCGCCGGCUUGUCAAAACACCGGUCUCUCAACCUCGCUACGUGCCCGCCCACCCGU
Molecule: non-coding RNA, 92 nt
Filed under: Burkholderia sp. GAS332
Lineage: Bacteria; Pseudomonadati; Pseudomonadota; Betaproteobacteria; Burkholderiales; Burkholderiaceae
Source: RNAcentral